CGGUGGAUGAUGUGGAUAAUUCGAUGCAACGCGAAAACCUUACCUACCCUUGACAUGUCCGGAAUCCCGAAGAGAUUUGGGAGUGCUCGCAAGAGAACCGGAACACAGGUGCUGCAUGGCUGUCGUCAGCUCGUGUCGUGAGAUGUUGGGUUAAGUCCCGCAACGAGCGCAACCCUUGUCAUUAGUUGCCAUCAUUUGGUUGGGCACUCUAAUGAGACUGCCGGUGACAAACCGGAGGAAGGUGGGGAUGACGUCAAGUCCUCAUGGCCCUUAUGGGUAGGGCUUCACACGUCAUACAAUGGUCGGUACAGAGGGUUGCCAACCCGCGAGGGGGAGCUAAUCCCACAAAGCCGAUCGUAGUCCGGAUCGCAGUCUGCAACUCGACUGCGUGAAGUCGGAAUCGCUAGUAAUCGUGGAUCAGCAUGUCACGGUGAAUACGUUCCCGGGUCUU
Molecule: ribosomal RNA, 451 nt
Filed under: uncultured Rhodocyclaceae bacterium
Lineage: Bacteria; Pseudomonadati; Pseudomonadota; Betaproteobacteria; Rhodocyclales; Rhodocyclaceae
Description: bacterial SSU rRNA
Rfam family: Bacterial small subunit ribosomal RNA
Source: RNAcentral